Mus musculus (house mouse) is the source of this 3195-nucleotide long non-coding RNA. RefSeq annotates it as predicted gene, 39090. The record is from RefSeq and is marked validated. The transcript has 3 exons. NCBI's taxonomy places the organism in Eukaryota, Metazoa, Chordata, Mammalia, Rodentia, Muridae.
AGACAGGCUCAGCUCCCAGCUGCAACUGGCAGGUCUGAGGCUCAGUUCUCACAGAAGAGCAAACCCACCAAGGGCAGCGCUCGCCUCCGGAGCCAUGUGCUGGCCUGGGGAGCCUGCCACCUCGAGGGCCCAACAACUUCUCAGAGUGGGGGAGGGGCCCGGCAUCUCCUGAGCCGCAGCUCCCCGAAGCUCCUGGCUGAUAUCCACCGACCUGUGAUGUCAUCCACAAACACAUGGAAGGCAAAAGUGCCUCUCCCUGGGAAUGAAAGGGCAGGGGCUGGGCUAGUCACCGCAUGGGAAGCAGAAACCAGACACAGACAGAGAGAGCACCCAGAAGAAAUCAGAGCACAGCCAAACUUCUAAUCAGGAGAAGAAAAGCUAUGGAUUCCUUCAAAAUGAAUGAAAAUCAGAUUUGAUCAGGGGAGACCCCCUGAAGAUCCUGACUGCAGACAUGAAAGAAAUCAAGAAUACCAACAAAACAGACAGGUCAGCUCCAGGCAGCACCCCCAUUCUACUUCAUAGAAGAUGAUGAGCAUCGAGAACCUCUGUACGGAGUUUGCUUCAAAUGUGGCAAACAAGCCACUGGGCAAGAAACUGCCCUUGCUUCAGCCGCUGACAGUAUGCUGUCCAAACUGGACCAACAGGAUGCAGGCAAGUCAACUGCUGAGCUUCUCAGGGACAGGGUAGGCAAGUCCUUCAUAGCUCCUGCUCCCCAGAGUGUCUGUCAGAUAUUCUGAACGAGGGCUGUGAUGGUGCUCCAAUGACUCAGGGAGAUGUCACGUGACUGUGCAGGCAGCCAGCCGUCUGUCAUGUCUAUAGAUUUGGAAACUGCUUCAUCUGCACUGCCUGUACCUGUAUACUCAGCUAGUUUCAUUCCUUCUCGGGUCUCUGACAGGGCUGAAGACUAGAUAGUUACAGUCUUAAGCUUAAAUGGUUUAGGAUUUGAGAAAAUGUUUUACGGUCUAAGAAGCUAUUCUUAGGUUUAUAAAUGCAAAUUUUGAUAGAAAAUGAUUUAUGUACAGAGCUCUAACUCACUAAGACAGGAGAGAUGGUAGAGUACUUUUUCCAAGGUUGCUAAAUACAAAUGGACUGGAUGUUCUGAAAGUAAUUCUUACAUGAUAGUUAUCAUGAUUAUUCUUAUCAUACAUAGUUUACUGAUGUUAGAGAAAGAGCCUUUCGUUGAACUAAAAGGGAGAGAUGUAGAGAGAAUUUCUUGUGUACUGUGUGGAAGAAUUGCCUGUCAAUAAAAAGCUGAUGGCCUAUUAGCAAGAGGCAGGAAAGAAGAGGUGAGAGUUCUGGUAAAGAGAUAGGAACUCUGGGGAGUUAGUCAGGCCUGAGGAGACAGCCACCCAGGCUCUGAGGAGACAGAUAUAUGAAACUGAGGGGAGGUAACCAACCAUGUGGCACACAGAAUAGAAUAAACAGGUUAUAUGAGUUAUGAGCUAGUCAGGGAACAGCCCCAAGCUCACGCUAGGCAUUUAUUCAUACACAAAAAACUUCCAAGUUGUUACUCAGGAACUGGGCCAGGUAGAAAGACCGCAGUGACACCUCUCCAUGCUCCCCACCUGCCUGUGGACUGGAUGUAGCUCUCAACUACUUCUCCAGCAUGUCUCCAGCCUGCCUGCCACCAUGCUCCCCACCAUAAUGAUAAAAGACUAACCCUCUGAAAAGGGAAACAAGACCAUAGUUAAAUGCUUUCUCUUUUGCAGGAGUUGCCCUGGUCCCAGUGUCUCUUCACAACAGUGAACAGUGUCUAAACAGGUUUCAAAUUUUGAUUGGUUGGAUGAAGCAUCUAUCAAAAGAUGGCUUAUUGAAAGAGUUGGAGAUGCCUGAUACCCCUUGGCUUAGUGCUGCUGAAGGGAUUUUAAGGCUCAGGGAAUUGCAGUGCUCGAGUGGGUACGCUGUGUAAAACCUCCACAACGUGAAGGCCCAGAAGACACGCCCUUCACAAAUCCUGUAAGACACAAAAUGGUGCACCAGCACAUUUGAAGAGUUUUGCCCUUUUCCUUGUGCCAGACCUAAGGGCUGGAGAUGCUGCUGCUCAGUGGAUGAAUUAAAUGCAAUGGGUUUAACUGGGGCACAGAGUAGCAGGGCCAGGUGGCAGCACUGAAUUAACUAAGGCAAGGUGAUCAUAGUUAUUCCAAUGAGCAGCACAACAACAAAGCAAUGAUCGUAAUAGCCUGCCAUGAUGGUCAGCACAGGCAAAGUGAAUUUUAGGGUGGCAUGACUGGUAUGGACUUAGGUACUGGGUAACCAACCAUGGUGUUUCCAGGCAUGAAACAGGAAGCCUACUAUGUAAGAGGAAAAUUUCUCAAACAAAUAAAAGGCUUACAUUAAGUCAUGAUCAAGAGAGAAUCUCAACCUGUGAACCAAUUUCUAGAGUUGAGCCAGUUUGCAGACCCAGAUCUCCUUGAAUGAGGGAGUGGCCAAGUUCCACUGAUUAAGGACCUUGAUAAGACACCUAAAAGUUUUACUGUUAGUCUUUCUCCUGUCCUUCCCCAGAGGGACCUACGGGCUUUUAGAAGGGAAAUUGUACACGAGGGGAAGGAAACUAUCAGACUUCCUGAGGUCUACUGAAUGCUGUUCUGAACUGACCCUGGUUCUGGGAAACCCCUAGAGACAUGGUGGCCCAUCAGUUAAAGUCAGAGCUUAUGAUAGGAGCCAGGUGAUUAAUGGAGUUUAGGCUAAAGUCUGACUCAUAGUAGGCUCAGGGAGAGCCUGAAUUUCUCCUGUGGUUAUUUCCCAAGUCCCAGAAUGUAUAAUCGGGAUAGAUAUACUUAGAAGUUGGCAGAGUUCUCACACUGGUUCCCUGGUCUGUGGUGUGAGGGCUAUUAUGGCUGGAAAGGCUAAAUGGAAGUCUUUAGAGUUGCCUCUCUACCAUGGAAAAUAGUGAAUCCAGGAACAAGUGUCACCGUCAAGGACUUGGGAGACAAAGCGGGGAGAGGGGCUCCCAGGUCUCCCUUUAGCCCUCCUACCUGGCCUGUACAGAAUAUUUUGGUAAGAACCUGUUUGCACAGAUAUUUGUGUUUUCUUCACUAAGUUUCUUUAUCAUACAGUGUAUCAUCAAUUGAGAUAAUAUCAAUGGUUCUCACAUUUAAGUUAUGAGGUAUUAAAGUAACUUUCCUCAAAGGACAUUGCCACCUAUUCUAAAAUGUAUAAUGAAUUUGUGGUUGUACAUGUUCAAGUUAUAAAUUA